UCUGCGGUGUGUACKAUACGCUUUCUUUGAGUCGAGUUGUUUGGGAAUACAGCUCAAAGUAGGUGGUAAAUUCCAUCUAAAGCUAAAUAUUGGUGCGAGACCGAUAGCGAACAAGUACCGUGAGGGAAAGAUGAAAAGAACUUUGAAAAGAGAGUUAAAGAGUACCUGAAACUGUUGAAAGGGAACCGUAUCGUUUCCAGUGUUUUAUCCUAUGCAUAUUUCAUUCGUGGAGUAAUUUACGGGUGCCCUGUGCAUGGGUGUGACGUCAGGGUCAGUUUGUAUGCUGCGGGAGAUGGUCAGUGAGGAGGUGCGUCACUUCGGUGAAAGUUAUAUCUCGCUGUCUAGUAGCCGUGGUUGAGACUGAGGUGCCUACAACAUGCCUUAAGGUUCUAUGUUGUCUCGUGUUGGUGACUGCUUUGAUAGCUUGCUAUGUCUGUGGUUUAUUAAUGCGAUUGAUGAUGUGGAUAACUUUUGCUGUUCGGGACUCUGGCGAAAUGGAGCGAUACGACCCGUCUUGAAACACGGACCAAGGAGUCUAACAUGUGUGCAAGUAUUAGGGCGUGGAAACCCAAAUGCGUAAUGAAAGUAAAUGCUGCUUAUGCAGCUGUGGUAGGAAAGGGCUGUCAAGGUCCUGGCACUAUCGACCGAUCAUGAGCCUACGGGCAAAAGAUUUGAGUAUGAGCAUAUAUGUUGGUACCCGAAAGAUGGUGAACUAUGCCUGAAUAGGGUGAAGCCAGGGGAAACUCUGGUGGAAGCUCGUAGCGAUUCUGACGUGCAAAUCGAUCGUCAAAUUUGGGUAUAGGGGCGAAAGACUAAUCGAACCAUCUAGUAGCUGGUUCCCUCCGAAAUUUCCCUCAGGAUAGCAGCAACUUUUUACGAUAG
RNAcentral lists this ribosomal RNA (882 nucleotides) under Saprolegnia parasitica. RNAcentral describes it as "partial large subunit ribosomal RNA". Lineage: Eukaryota; Oomycota; Saprolegniomycetes; Saprolegniales; Saprolegniaceae. The record is from RNAcentral.